GUAUUGGCAGUGUGUGUGUGUUCAUAUUGGACAGUUUCUUUUUCCCCCCUUAAAUGUCUGCUCACUGUUUCUCUCCUAAAAUGUCUCCUAGUCUGUAUCAGUUUCCUAAAAACCUCAACAAUCUCUCUAUCCCUUUACUAAUUGCCUUCCCGGUCUGUUCCCUUUCCCUAAAUUUAUCACUGGUCUCUCUGCUUUCCCUUAUGAGUCUAUUCACUAAACAGUGAUUUGAAAAAGUUGAGAUGACUUUAUACAACUCUUCUGUUU
This is a non-coding RNA of Pelobates cultripes (western spadefoot toad), 264 nucleotides long. Lineage: Eukaryota; Metazoa; Chordata; Amphibia; Anura; Pelobatidae. The record is from the annotation of a GenBank genome assembly.